This 421-nucleotide long non-coding RNA is filed under the name Homo sapiens (human). Its description in RNAcentral is "HSALNT0383916". The record is from RNAcentral. Lineage: Eukaryota; Metazoa; Chordata; Mammalia; Primates; Hominidae.
CUCGACCCAGAUCGCUCCCGGCCCGCCGCUCACCUUGAAGUUGACCGGGUCCACCCGAAGCUUGUGCGCGUGCAGGUCGCUCAGGGCGGACAGCGCGUUGGGCAUGUCGUCCACGUGCGCCACGGCGUUGGUCAGCGCGUCGGCCACCUUCUUGCCGUGGCCCUUAACCUGGGCAGAGCCGUGGCUCAGGUCGAAGUGCGGGAAGUAGGUCUUGGCGGCCUUGACGUUGGUCUUGUCGGCAGGAGACAGCACCAUGGUGGGUUCUCUCUGAGUCUGUGGGGACCAGAAGAGUGCCGGCCCGCGAGCGCGCCAGGGUUUAUGCUUGGGGCGCGGGGGCACGCCCGGCCGGGCGGCGCUCAUUGGCUGGCGCGGAGCCCGGGGCGCGGCCUGGACCGCAGGGGAGUCCCGGGCGGGGCCUGCG